Molecule: ribosomal RNA, 270 nt
Filed under: uncultured bacterium
Lineage: Bacteria
Description: partial 16S ribosomal RNA
Rfam family: Bacterial small subunit ribosomal RNA
Source: RNAcentral
AACUAACGCUGGCGGCGUGCCUAACACAUGCAAGUCGAGCGGUCACCACUUUGUAGCAAUACAGAUGAAGUGAUAGCGGCAGACGGGUGAGUAACACGUAGGCAAUCUACCUUUCCGUCCGGGAUAACUAGCCGAAAGGUUAGCUAAUACCAGAUGCGACCACCGAGCGGCAUCGCUUGGUGUUGAAAGCAGCAAUGCGCGGAUUGAGGAGCCUGCGGCCCAUUAGCUAGUUGGUGAGGUAAUGGCCCACCAAGGCGACGAUGGGUAGCU